This 2060-nucleotide long non-coding RNA is filed under the name Homo sapiens (human). RNAcentral's name for it is "HSALNT0094790". The record is from RNAcentral. Lineage: Eukaryota; Metazoa; Chordata; Mammalia; Primates; Hominidae.
AACCAUAUCAAUCCUAUUGGUCAGCCCUGAUCAGUGUAGGAGGACACUACACAAGGGGCUGAAUACUGGGCGGCGAGGAUGACUGGAGUGGUCUUAGAGGCUAUCUACUGCACCUUUUAAUAUGCUACAUUAUGAAAGAUGGCCCUGGAGUUGUCUGAUAUUUGCAAGAGCUCUCCAGUCUUCCAGCCCUGCCUCUUUCCCCUCCUUUUAAAAACUCUAGACUUGACGCACACCUGCAAGGUCUUCCUCGGCCCCUCCUCUGAUGUCUGAAACAGCCCUUCACACGUCAGUGGCGCAAGUGGCUGCCUUAUGGAUGACAGAGUUGCUGAGGUGAAAGUAGCUCAUGGCGCGAGAUCCAGCACCUUCUGCAGUAUGGUCAUCCUUGUUACUGGGGCUGAUAGGAUCUGAUGGGAAGAACUCAGCUGUGUCCACCGUCAUUUUGACAGGAGACAUCCUUUUAACUUCAUGAAGCCCCACAUGAUCUGGCCUCUGCCUCUCUGUGAUCACCUCCGCCCUCUCCUCCACCUCACUGGUUCCACCCACACUGACGUCCCUCCUGUCCCAGCCAUUCCUUUUGCUUGGAGUGCUUGUCCCUCUGAUCUUAGCAACAGUGAUUCUCAUCACUCCAUUGUCAGCUUAGUGAUCCCCUCUUCCGAGAGGGCUCUCCUGACCACCCCUUCUAAAGUGGUUCCCAUUCACUCCUUAGCACAUUUUCUUCUUUAAACUUUUGCAGAGCUUUUUUCACCAAUGAUUUUUUUUGUUUACUUAAGUAGUUGCUUGUUUAUUGACUAUCUCUUCCAGCAAUUGAUAAGCCCCAUGAAAGCAGGGGUCCUGUCUAUCUUAUUCCCCCAAAUUGUAGAACAGAGCCAGGCACAUAGUUGGCAUUCAACAGAUAUUUGCUGAAUAGGUGAAUGGAUCAUUUGCUCAACAAGCACUUAUAAAUGCUCCUUGGUAGACAUUAUGGAAUUCAGAAAUUUGAAGCCGGGUACACAGUAGGUUCUCAGUAAAUGCUGGUGCCAGCAUUGCUUUCUUGCAGAUCAGUGGUCAGCCCAGGGAGACCAGACCCACUCCCCUGGCUAUUUCCUUGUAUUACCUCUUGGUGAAUGGCAGCAACAGCUCCCUGGGAGACACUAUAAGGAUGUUUAGGACACAGUACCCUGUGCAAAGGGAGUGCUCAUUUACAUGCAUUUAUCCAUUUUAUUCACUAACCAGUACUCACAUAGUACUGUCAAGAAUUCUGAAUCUGAGACUUUAUCUUACUGGCAAGCUAACAAGUUUGCCUGCCACCAUUUCAUUCUGAUAGAAGAUAGGAGACUCUUGGGUCAGAGAGGAAGGAUAGUUUAUCACUCACAGCAAUUGCAGAGUAUUAGCAUCUUUUUAGUGAUACCUCAAGCCCUGACUUCCGCAGAGUGACACAAAGAGGGCCUGAUGACACCUGCAUGCUCAGUGAGUUACAUGAGGGGAGCCCUGAGCUUAGGGAACUUGACUAUAAUGGACAGUCUGUCUGCUCUUUGCUCUGGAGGGAGACACCAUCUCUAUCUUCCAGAGUUGUUUGAUAUACAUGUCUUUGAAAAGGUAGUCCAGAACAAAGAGCAGUCAGUGCAUCUGCUCACAAGAUGUGCAGAAAUGCUUGGGACCUGUGGAGAAUUGCCUCACAACAAGAAGCCUAGGAGGCCCUCAGAUUUGUUGAAUGAAUGAAUGAAUGCCAGGUGUUGCAUGCAGCAUUAUAUAGUUAAAUAAGACAUAGUUUCUGUCAUUAGAGUUCAUGUCUUCUUGGCCGGGUGUGGUGGCUCACACUUGUCAUCCCAGCCCUUUGGGAGGCUGAGGGGGGUGGAUCACAAGGUCAGGAGAUCGAGACCAUCCUGGCUAACAUGGUGAAACUCCGUCUCUACUAAAGAAUACAAAAAAUUAGCCGGGCAUGUUGGCGGGUGCCUGUAGUCCCAGUUACUCGGGAGGCUGAGGUAGGAGAAUAGUGUGAACCCAGGAGGUGGAGCUUGCAGUGAGCCGAGAUCGCGCCACUGCACUGCAGCCUGGGCGACAGAGCGAGACUCUGUCUCAAA